Molecule: ribosomal RNA, 450 nt
Filed under: uncultured organism
Description: partial 16S ribosomal RNA
Rfam family: Bacterial small subunit ribosomal RNA
Source: RNAcentral
CGUACACUCCUGCGGGAGGCAGCAGUGGGGAAUAUUAGACAAUGGGCGCAAGCCUGAUCCAGCCAUGCCGCGUGAGUGAUGAAGGCCCUAGGGUUGUAAAGCUCUUUCACCGGUGAAGAUAAUGACGGUAACCGGAGAAGAAGCCCCGGCUAACUUCGUGCCGGCAGCCGCGGUAAUACGAAGGGGGCUAGCGUUGUUCGGAUUUACUGGGCGUAAAGCGCACGUAGGCGGACUAUUAAGUCAGGGGUGAAAUCCCGGGGCUCAACCCCGGAACUGCCUUUGAUACUGGUAGUCUUGAGUUCGAGAGAGGUGAGUGGAAUUCCGAGUGUAGAGGUGAAAUUCGUAGAUAUUCGGAGGAACACCAGUGGCGAAGGCGGCUCACUGGCUCGAUACUGACGCUGAGGUGCGAAAGCGUGGGGAGCAAACAGGAGUAGAAACCCCAGUAGUCCC